Molecule: ribosomal RNA, 497 nt
Filed under: uncultured bacterium
Lineage: Bacteria
Description: partial 16S ribosomal RNA
Rfam family: Bacterial small subunit ribosomal RNA
Source: RNAcentral
GAUGAACGCUGGCGGCGUGCCUAAUACAUGCAAGUCGAGCGAACAGACGAUUAGCUUGCUCCUCUGACGUUAGCGGCGGACGGGUGAGUAACACGUGGAUAACCUACCUAUAAGACUGGGAUAACUUCGGGAAACCGGAGCUAAUACCGGAUAAUAUAUUGAACCGCAUGGUGCAAUAGUGAAAGACGGUUUUGCUGUCACUUAUAGAUGGAUCCGCGCCGCAUUAGCUAGUUGGUAAGGUAACGGCUUACCAAGGCAACGAUGCGUAGCCGACCUGAGAGGGUGAUCGGCCACACUGGAACUGAGACACGGUCCAGACUACUACGGGAGGCAGCAGUAGGGAAUCUUCCGCAAUGGGCGAAAGCCUGACGGAGCAACGCCGAGUGAGUGAUGAAGGUAUUCGGAUCGUAAAACUCUGUUAUUAGGGAAGAACAAAUGUGUAAGUAACUAUGCACGUCUUGACGGUACCUAAUCAGAAAGCCACGGCUAACUACGUG